This 490-nucleotide ribosomal RNA is filed under the name uncultured bacterium. RNAcentral describes it as "partial 16S ribosomal RNA". It matches the Rfam family "Bacterial small subunit ribosomal RNA", at positions 30 to 507 of the family's 1533-position model. The record is from RNAcentral.
AUUGAACGCUGGCGGCAGGCUUAACACAUGCAAGUCGAGCGGUAGCACAGGGGAGCUUGCUCCCUGGGUGACGAGCGGCGGACGGGUGAGUAAUGUCUGGGAAACUGCCUGAUGGAGGGGGAUAACUACUGGAAACGGUAGCUAAUACCGCAUAACGUCGCAAGACCAAAGAGGGGGACCUUCGGGCCUCUUGCCAUCAGAUGUGCCCAGAUGGGAUUAGCUAGUAGGUGGGGUAAUGGCUCACCUAGGCGACGAUCCCUAGCUGGUCUGAGAGGAUGACCAGCCACACUGGAACUGAGACACGGUCCAGACUCCUACGGGAGGCAGCAGUGGGGAAUAUUGCACAAUGGGCGCAAGCCUGAUGCAGCCAUGCCGCGUGUGUGAAGAAGGCCUUCGGGUUGUAAGGCACUUUCAGCGAGGAGGAAGGUGGUGAGCUUAAUACGUUCAUCAAUUGACGUUACUCGCAGAAGAAGCACCGGCUAACUCCGUG